Molecule: ribosomal RNA, 461 nt
Filed under: uncultured bacterium
Lineage: Bacteria
Description: bacterial SSU rRNA
Rfam family: Bacterial small subunit ribosomal RNA
Source: RNAcentral
GGGCCCGCACAAGCGGUGGAUGAUGUGGAUUAAUUCGAUGCAACGCGAAGAACCUUACCUACCCUUGACAUGCCAGGAACCCUGCUGAGAGGUGGGGGUGCCCGAAAGGGAAUCUGGACACAGGUGCUGCAUGGCUGUCGUCAGCUCGUGUCGUGAGAUGUUGGGUUAAGUCCCGCAACGAGCGCAACCCUUGCCAUUAGUUGCUACGAAAGGGCACUCUAAUGGGACUGCCGGUGACAAACCGGAGGAAGGUGGGGAUGACGUCAAGUCCUCAUGGCCCUUAUGGGUAGGGCUUCACACGUCAUACAAUGGUCGGUACAGAGGGUUGCCAACCCGCGAGGGGGAGCCAAUCCCACAAAGCCGAUCGUAGUCCGGAUCGCAGUCUGCAACUCGACUGCGUGAAGUCGGAAUCGCUAGUAAUCGCGGAUCAGCAUGUCGCGGUGAAUACGUUCCCGGGCCUU